Molecule: non-coding RNA, 407 nt
Organism: Camellia sinensis
Lineage: Eukaryota; Viridiplantae; Streptophyta; Magnoliopsida; Ericales; Theaceae
Source: RefSeq, a predicted model, not a curated record
UUCUUUAUAUUCAACAUUUGUCAUUGAGGCCCGCCAUGGUUUCAUCAAAGGACAUGAUUAAAGGAAUCAUCCUAGCAACUAUAAUUGGACCGCCUAUUGUCGCAGCAAUUAUUGUAAUAGUACAGAAAGGAAGUCCUUCGCCAUCUAUCUUUGGGGGUUUCUGCUUGUACUAUCUCUUGUGAUGAUGAUUGUGCACGACGUUUUAAUUGCGUCACUUUUUAACAAGCUCACUCCACUUCCGGAUAGAGAACUCUGCAUGGUUGAGAAGCUAUUUAUUCACUACGUGGUCAGAUCUUAUCUUGGGUUAUUUGAACAGGUUUACUGUCAAUAAGUUGCGUUGACUGUUUAUUUGAAUAGGUUUACCGUCAAUAAGUCGGUGAUUCAUCAGAGCGAUUUCGAAGUUCUCU